CAGCCAGCUGGAGGUUUCCAAGUGGCCAUCCAUAUCCAACUAACCGAUAAGUGUAGAAAGACCAAUAUAACCUUCAUAACUUGUACACGUGACACACGAUUUCACACUGACAUAGUACAUUACCACUGCGAGAGAAUUAGCUAGGAAAUUCUCCAUCACUUUUCAGAAUCAAUCCUCGGAUCAGCAACAAUUCGUUGUUUCAGUCGGGGAAAUCGCUUUUCAAAGAAGAAUUUAUACCUCGUUGAUUACUAUUCUCGUGUUGCCUUUUCCAACUCUAAUACGAUGGAAUGGCUCUGUGUUCGGAUCAACUUUCCAUUCAACCUCGUCUUCUCUCUUCUUCUGAUCAUCUUGGUCAACCUUCCAAGGUCAGCCAUUGAUCCCAUGGCAGAUCUCCUAAAACUCAAAAAGUCUGGCAAGCAUGAAUUUUCAAAUUUCAUUGCAGCAGAAGGACGCAAAAAUGGAAAACUUCUUGUGUGAAUUCACCUCAUGCUUUCUUGGAUAAGAAUAGAGAAAUCGCAUUCUACGUGAAGAAACCGUGCUUCUCUCUUGUUAUUUGCAGCUCCAAGAAAAUGAUUAGAUGGGUGAAGCCUGAGGUAAAUCAUCUUACAUUUCUUUACCAGCAAUUUAUAUUUUCUUAAGGCCCUUGUCAAUUUGGAAUUAUUCAGUUGUUGAAGAGAAGAUCUGAACUUGGGCUGGUGUUGGAUUACAUUUAAAUAAUUAAAUGUUUACACCUUCUAAACGAUAGAAUUAAACCAAUCAUUUAUUGUAGUAACUUUAAUAAUCUUCCUCUAUUAAAUGUAAAUAUUGGAGUAUCUUUUCUUUUAUUGAAACAUUCCAUACUCUCCCUUCUGCAAUUUGGUGUAUUUAGCUUACUGUUUUUCAAUUAAAUAAUUUAUAGUUGUGGAAUUUCAGGCUUUUUCUAUAUGCCUAUAAAAUAUGAAUAAAGCAGUCAGAUAGGCUAAAAACAUGGAUUUAAAGACAGAUUGAUUUGGCAGAAAGUGGUU
Long non-coding RNA from Olea europaea var. sylvestris, 1004 nucleotides. RefSeq lists it as uncharacterized. Lineage: Eukaryota; Viridiplantae; Streptophyta; Magnoliopsida; Lamiales; Oleaceae. The record is from RefSeq and is a predicted model, not a curated record. The transcript is spliced from 3 exons.